CCUCAAAAUUUUUGAGACCCGAUAGAGACCCAAUUCUCAUACUUUUUUCCCCUUCUCCUUCUCGUCUCUCUCUUCCCUUCGCCCUAGCCGCACUCCCGUAACCACCAUCAUCCUCAACUCCGACCACCUAACCACCAUCCUCACACCCGUUUUUCUCCUAGCCAAGCUCCAAAUCUCAGGCACCCGUGAAGCCAACCCCCGAACCAAGUGACCCCAGGUGCGAGCCCACCUCUGCGUGCCUUCGACCCAGUGGUCUCAUCAUUCUUGGAGAUCGCCGUUGGACAAACUACCGAGACUGCCAGGCAGUUCUUGCAGAUAAUUUAUGGAAUUUUGUUGGGAGAACAGGCAACAAGUUGGAAGCUUGAGGAGGCUAUUCAGCUUGGGAUUUCCACUGCUCACUGAUCGACUUCUACUACUAUAGGCCAGCAAUUUUCAUGGCCGAGGAUGUCGAGGAAUUUGUUACUAGCAUAUCAGAGCUUUGGUGUAGUUUACGGGGACUUGGGUACUUCACCUCUUUAUGUUUACUGAAGCACAUUUUCUGGGAAGUUACAAAAACAUAUUAGCCAAGAUGCAAUCUUUGGUGCUUUUUCAUUGAUCUUUUGGACUCUUACUCUUAUCCCUUUGCUUAAGUAUGUCUUUGUCUUACUCAGUGCUGAUGAUAAUGGUGAAGGUGGGACCUUUGCUCUUUACUCACUGCUUUGCCACCAUGCUAAGUUUAGUUUGCUUCCCAACCAGCAAGCAGCUGAUGAAGAGCUCACUGCCUAUAAAUAUGGUCCAUCUUCUCAGCAUGCUAGUUCGUAUAAAUAUGGUCAAUAACUGCUCUAAACAAGUCGGUAUCCAUAUUCACAUCCCAAAUUUUGAAAUUCACAUAUAAAUAUAUGUUUAUAUUCUGUAUUUAAGUUUGUGAAGCGGGUUUCUGUGUUUUUUCGAGUUCAGGUCAUUGAAAUGGACAAUGGCGGAACCAAGCGAGUUGACUCAGCACAUUGAGUCUUACGUUGACACGUCUCACUCCCAGAC
This is a long non-coding RNA of Humulus lupulus (European hop), 1017 nucleotides long. RefSeq lists it as uncharacterized. Lineage: Eukaryota; Viridiplantae; Streptophyta; Magnoliopsida; Rosales; Cannabaceae. The record is from RefSeq and is a predicted model, not a curated record. The transcript has 4 exons.